UGAUUAUUACCGGUGAUACUAAUUUCAAAAACUUCCUAAUGCGUCAUUUUUAUAGAUCACAAAUAACAAGUUUAAGUGGUAGUAUUUUUUAUAAUGAAAGUGCUUGCUAAAAAUGAAAAUAAAGAAGGCAUACUUUUCUAAAAUCUUGUACCUAGAACAAAAGGUACACACCUAUGCACAUAAAGUGCUAGGGUUUAAUGAGCCUUUGAGCCUCAGGGACUAUGCAUCUACCUUAAUUUUUUUAUUAAGAUCCAUUUAUUAUGACAUUAAAACUCAUAUCUUGCUGCCACUACUAUUAAUAUCAUGAGACUUAUUACUUUGUUGCCAUAUAUCAUGCAUUAUUCACUACUUUUAUCUAGACUAUUUAUCCUCUCUAUUACUCUCUAAAUACACUCUUGCUUUGCCUUGGUCAUUACUCUAAUUAACACCCUAUUACCCAGAAUUACUACUAAUGAACUGAAUGCCAAAUUGUGAAGCAGAGAAAGUCCCAGCAAAUAGGUU
Molecule: unclassified non-coding RNA, 501 nt
Filed under: Hevea brasiliensis (rubber tree)
Lineage: Eukaryota; Viridiplantae; Streptophyta; Magnoliopsida; Malpighiales; Euphorbiaceae
Source: RNAcentral